Molecule: ribosomal RNA, 708 nt
Filed under: uncultured Flavobacteriia bacterium
Lineage: Bacteria; Pseudomonadati; Bacteroidota; Flavobacteriia
Description: bacterial SSU rRNA
Rfam family: Bacterial small subunit ribosomal RNA
Source: RNAcentral
GGCGCACGGGUGCGUAACGCGUAUGCAACCUACCUCUUACUGGGGAAUAGCCCGGAGAAAUUCGGAUUAAUGCCCCAUAUGCUCGUACGGCCUCAUGGUCGAGCGAGGAAAGCUCCGGCGGUAAGAGAUGGGCAUGCGUCCUAUUAGCUAGUUGGUGAGGUAACGGCUCACCAAGGCGACGAUAGGUAGGGGGCCUGAGAGGGUGACCCCCCACACUGGUACUGAGACACGGACCAGACUCCUACGGGAGGCAGCAGUGAGGAAUAUUGGGCAAUGGAGGAAACUCUGACCCAGCCAUGCCGCGUGCAGGAAGACGGCCCUAUGGGUUGUAAACUGCUUUUGUACGAGAAUAAACCUUUCCACGUGUGGAAAGCUGAAGGUACCGUACGAAUAAGGAUCGGCUAACUCCGUGCCAGCAGCCGCGGUAAUACGGAGGAUCCAAGCGUUAUCCGGAUUUAUUGGGUUUAAAGGGUCCGUAGGCGGGUUUUUAAGUCAGUGGUGAAAGCCUACAGCUCAACUGUAGAAUUGCCAUUGAUACUGGAGACCUUGAGUGUAGUAGAAGUAGGCGGAAUAAGGCAUGUAGCGGUGAAAUGCAUAGAUAUGCCUUAGAACACCGAUUGCGAAGGCAGCUUACUAUGUUACAACUGACGCUGAGGGACGAAAGCGUGGGGAGCGAACAGGAUUAGAUACCCUGGUAGUCCACGCCGU